AGAGUAUAGAAGCCCAAGAGGCGAAACUGUAGUGAUAAGGGCGAAAGUCUAUAGAUGGCGCUGCCGCCAUUUUGGACUGAAAACUGCUGAAAGUCGCUAGAAAAUGCGAGAGAGCAAGUGGGCGAAACGCAAGCAGUGUGCUGCAAUAAACUGCAGCAAUUAUCAAUGCACCAGCCGUGAUUUGGCGUUUCACCGGUUUCCAAGUGAUCCACAAAGGUGUGCCAGGUGGGUCCAAAAUCUUCGGAAUGCAUCCCUUGAUGACAUACCUUCGGAUCGGCUGCAUCAUACCUAUAUAGGGUGUGCAGUGCUCAUUUGCACCAGAGCCAGUUCAAAAGGCCAUCUGAUGUCCAUGGUGGAUUGAAAUGGGAUGCUGUGCCCACAAAUAUCGAUGCCCCUAACCCGCCUCCCCCACUAGACAUCGAGAGGAAGUGCAAACCUCCUAAGACGCGCCAGGAGUUGCCCUGUAAAAAACGCAAGCAGUCAUGUUCCUCCCUCUGAAGAGGAUGGUGUAGCAGGGUCUUCAUCACGGGAGCAGUUCACUGAGGAAG
RNAcentral lists this long non-coding RNA (548 nucleotides) under Sinocyclocheilus anshuiensis. RNAcentral describes it as "lncRNA (ENSSANG00000044864.1)". The record is from RNAcentral. Lineage: Eukaryota; Metazoa; Chordata; Actinopteri; Cypriniformes; Cyprinidae.